CCUACGGGAGGCAGCAGUGGGGAAUCUUGCGCAAUGGGCGAAAGCCUGACGCAGCAACGCCGCGUGCGGGAAGAAGGCUUUCGGGCUGUAAACUGCUUUCAGCAGGAACGAAAAUGACGGUACCUGCAGAAGAAGGAGCGGCCAACUAUGUGCCAGCAGCCGCGGUGAUACAUAGGCUUCAAGCGUUGUCCGGAUUUAUUGGGCGUAAAGAGUUCGUAGGCGGUCGAGUAAGUCGGGUGUGAAAAUUCUGGGCUCAACCCAGAGACGCCACCCGAUACUGCUUGACUUGAGUUCGAUAGGGGAGUGGGGAAUUCCUAGUGUAGCGGUGAAAUGCGCAGAUAUUAGGAGGAACACCGGUGGCGAAGGCGCCACUCUGGAUCGAUACUGACGCUGAGGAACGAAAGCAUGGGUAGCAAACAGGAUUAGAUACCCUGGUAGUCCAUGCCGUAAACGGUGGGCACUAGGUGUGGGUUUCUAUUAACGAAAUCCGNGCCGUCGCUAACGCAUUAAGUGCCCCGCCUGGGGGAGGUACGGUCGCGAGACUAAACUAAAGUAAGUAGACGCGUGAGACGNGCCGAGACGACGACGAGGGAGUAGG
Molecule: ribosomal RNA, 598 nt
Filed under: uncultured bacterium
Lineage: Bacteria
Description: bacterial SSU rRNA
Rfam family: Bacterial small subunit ribosomal RNA
Source: RNAcentral